RNAcentral lists this ribosomal RNA (465 nucleotides) under uncultured bacterium. RNAcentral's name for it is "bacterial SSU rRNA". It matches the Rfam family "Bacterial small subunit ribosomal RNA", at positions 338 to 795 of the family's 1533-position model. The record is from RNAcentral.
CCUACGGGUUGCACCAGUGGGGAAUAUCGCACAAUGGGCGCAAGCCUGAUGCAGCCAUGCCGCGUGUAUGAAGAAGGCCCUAGGGUUGUAAAGUACUUUCAGUCGGGAGGAAGGCGUUGAUGCUAAUAUCAUCAACGAUUGACGCUACCGACAGAAGAAGCACCGGCUAACUCCGUGCCAGCAGCCGCGGUAAUACGGAGGGUGCAAGCGUUAAUCGGAAUUACUGGGCGUAAAGCGCACGCAGGCGGUUGAUUAAGUUAGAUGUGAAAUCCCCGGGCUUAAUCUGGGAAUGGCAUCUAAGACUGGUCAGCUAGAGUCUUGUAGAGGGGGGUAGAAUUCCAUGUGUAGCGGUGAAAUGCGUAGAGAUGUGGAGGAAUACCGGUGGCGAAGGCGGCCCCCUGGACAAAGACUGACGCUCAGGUGCGAAAGCGUGGGGAGCAAACAGGAUUAGAUACCCUCGUAGUC